UACGUAGGGUGCGAGCGUUGUCCGGAAUUACUGGGCGUAAAGAGCUUGUAGGUGGUUUGUCGCGUUGUUCGUGAAAUCUCACGGCUUAACUGUGAGCGUGCGGGCGAUACGGGCAGACUAGAGUACUGCAGGGGAGACUGGAAUUCCUGGUGUAGCGGUGGAAUGCGCAGAUAUCAUGAGGAAGACCAGUGGCGAAGGCGGGUCUCUGGACAGUUCCUGACACUGAGACACGAAGGCCAGGGGAGCAAACGGG
This 253-nucleotide ribosomal RNA is filed under the name uncultured bacterium. RNAcentral's name for it is "partial 16S ribosomal RNA". It matches the Rfam family "Bacterial small subunit ribosomal RNA", at positions 524 to 776 of the family's 1533-position model. The record is from RNAcentral.